GGAGAGGUGGCCGAGCCUGGCUGAAGGCGCCCGCCUGCUAAGCGGGUGUACGGGUUUAAAGCCCGUACCGCGGGUUCGAAUCCCGCCCUCUCCGCCA
RNAcentral lists this transfer RNA (97 nucleotides) under Thermovibrio ammonificans HB-1. Its description in RNAcentral is "tRNA-Ser (GCT) (tRNA-Ser-GCT-1-1)". It matches the Rfam family "tRNA". Rfam says of the family: Transfer RNA (tRNA) molecules are approximately 80 nucleotides in length. Their secondary structure includes four short double-helical elements and three loops (D, anti-codon, and T loops). The record is from RNAcentral. Lineage: Bacteria; Pseudomonadati; Aquificota; Aquificia; Desulfurobacteriales; Desulfurobacteriaceae.